UACAGAGGUCCCAAGCGUUGUUCGGAUUCACUGGGCGUAAAGGGUGCGUAGGUGGUGAGGUAAGUCGGAUGUGAAAGCUCGGAGCUCAACUCCGAAAUGGCAUUGGAAACUACCUUGCUCGAGGGUUGGAGGGGGGGACUGGAAUGCUUGGUGUAGCAGUGAAAUGCGUAGAUAUCAAGCGGAACACCAGUGGCGAAGGCGAGUCCCUGGACAACUCCUGACACUGAGGCACGAAAGCGUGGGGAGCAAACAGG
RNAcentral lists this ribosomal RNA (254 nucleotides) under uncultured bacterium. Its description in RNAcentral is "partial 16S ribosomal RNA". It matches the Rfam family "Bacterial small subunit ribosomal RNA", at positions 524 to 776 of the family's 1533-position model. The record is from RNAcentral.